Molecule: long non-coding RNA, 2208 nt
Filed under: Mus musculus (house mouse)
Lineage: Eukaryota; Metazoa; Chordata; Mammalia; Rodentia; Muridae
Description: predicted gene, 57787
Source: RNAcentral
GACAAAGACGCGCGCUGAAACGCGCGCUGCCCUGCGGCGGCUGGCAUUGGCUGGCCGGUCGGUGGCUUCCACGAGCAGUAACAGCGCAGGUGUGGUCUCUCGAUCCAGACCACGAGGAGCGCUGAGCGCCCCGGUGCGCGCGUCCAAGCGCAGGGCGGGCACCGGGGGCUCCUGCCUCAGCAGGCGGUAUCGCACCUCACUGUUGGGACCUGGGCCAUCGGCGUCUGAUGCGCGGAAAGUGUAUAGCGUGGCACCGGGGUCGGGGUUCUCAGCCGCGCGCCUGCGCCUCCCGGCCCCUCGGCGCGCACGGUGAGCGCGCGCCAGGCUGGCCCAGCCUCGAAGUCCAAGGGACGCGCCAAGUACAGGCGACCGGAGGCUGAGUCCAGCGCGAAGGUGCCCUCGGGGUCCGCGCCACCAACCAGAGUAUAGCUUUGGAACCGGAUACAGCCAUCACCUUCAAUGUGUAUAACUCCUGGGACUCACGGUCUAGUGCUGUCCGUACCCACAGCCACCCACUCUGUGACUCCAGGCCAAAGGGGCUACUGGCACCAUCUGCUGCAAGAUGACCACCUCCAUCCUGAGCCCCGAUCUCCAGCUGCACCACAGAAUUAGCCCGUCUGCCUAAGGGCCAGGCUACUGUCAACAGCCCUGGAGAAGGAAGAGAAGCAAACAUAGAUGGAGAAAAGAAGAGGGGAGAAGGUCCUGGAAAGAGGAGACAAUAUUUAGACACUCCAGAAGAGGGCGUCAGAUCUCGUUACGGAUGGUUGUGAGCCACCAUGUGGUUGCUGGGAUUUGAACUCCAGACCUUUGGAAGAGCAGUCGGGUGCUCUUACCCACUGAGCCAUCUCACCAGCCCCCAGAUGAUGACUUUUGACAGUGAAAUUGUAUUGAUGAAAGUCGCCAGAGCACAUCCAAAGUCAAAGUUGGUUCUGUGGAUUGCCACUGAUGAUUCCAAAGCUGUUUGUCGCCUCAGUGUUAAGUUUGGUGUCACACUCAAAACUAGCAGGCUUCUCUUGGAACGAUCAAAAGAGCUAAAUAUUGAUGUCAUUGGUGUCAGCUUCCAUGUGGGCAGUGGAUGUACUGACCUGUAGACCUUCGUGCAGGCAGUGUCGGAUGCCGGCUGUGUGUUUGACAUGGGAACAGAUGUUGUUUUCAGCAUGUAUCUGCUUGAUAUUGGUGGUGGCUUUUCUGGAUCUGAAGAUACAAAGCUUAAAUUUGAAGAGAUCAUCAGUGUAAUCAACCUAGCUCUGGACAAGUACUUCCCAUCAGACUCUGGAGUGAGAAUCAUAGCUGAGCCAGGCAGAUACUAUGUCGCGUCAGCUUUCACGCUUGCAGUCAACAUCAUUGCCAAAAAACCAACCAACCAACCAACCAACCAACCAACCAACCAACCAACCAACCAAAAAUGUGUGGAAGGAGCAGCUCGGCUCUGACGAUGAAGAUGAGUCAAAUGAGCAAACCUUCUUGUAUUACGUGAAUGAUGGAGUAUAAGGAUCAUUUAACUGCAUUCUUUAUGAUCAUGCUGCAGAAGAGACCCAAGCCAGAUGAGAAGUAUUACUCAUCCAGCAUCUGGGGGCCAACAUGUGAUGGCCUUGAUCGGAUCAUUGAGUGCUGUAACAUGCCUGAAAUGCAUGUGGGUGAUUGGAUGCUGUUUGAGAACAUGGGUGCAUACACCGUUGCUGCUGCUUCUACUUUCAAUGGGUUCCAGAGGCCAAACAUCUACUAUGUAAUGUCACAGCCAAUGUGGCAACUCCUGAAGCAGACCCAGAACCAUGGCUUCCCGCCGGAGGUGGAGAAGGAUGAUGGCACUCUGUCCAUGUCUUGUGCCCAGGGGAGUGGGAUGGACCAUCACGCUGCAGCCUGUGCUUCUUCUAGGAUAAAUGUGUAGAUGUCAUUCUUGUAGCUCUUACAUGCAAGUUUAGCUUGAAUUAAGGCAUUUGGGGGGAUCAUUUAACUUACUGCUAGUUUGGGAUGUCUUUGUAAAAGUAGGGUUGACACCAAUGCAGUAUGGAAGGCUAGGAGAUUGGGGUCACACUUACUGUGUUCCUAUGGAAACUUUGAGUAUUUGUUUUAUAUGGAUUUUUAUUCACUUUUCAGACAUGAUACUAAAGAGUGCCCUCAGCUGCUGAGCAAGAGUUUGUAGUUUGUACAUUGGCAGAAUAGGCCAGAAGCUUAUGUUGUGAACUAUUGUGAAAAUAAAGUAUCUUC